RNAcentral lists this transfer RNA (75 nucleotides) under Telmatospirillum sp. RNAcentral describes it as "tRNA-Val". It matches the Rfam family "tRNA". Rfam says of the family: Transfer RNA (tRNA) molecules are approximately 80 nucleotides in length. Their secondary structure includes four short double-helical elements and three loops (D, anti-codon, and T loops). Further hydrogen bonds mediate the characteristic L-shaped molecular structure. tRNAs have two regions of fundamental functional importance: the anti-codon, which is responsible for specific mRNA codon recognition, and the 3' end, to which the tRNAs corresponding amino acid is attached (by aminoacyl-tRNA synthetases). tRNAs cope with the degeneracy of the genetic code in two manners: having more than one tRNA (with a specific anti-codon) for a particular amino acid; and 'wobble' base-pairing, i.e. permitting non-standard base-pairing at the 3rd anti-codon position. Lineage: Bacteria; Pseudomonadati; Pseudomonadota; Alphaproteobacteria; Rhodospirillales; Rhodospirillaceae. The record is from RNAcentral.
GGGCGCUUAGCUCAGCGGGAGAGCACGUCCUUCACACGGACGGGGUCGCAGGUUCAAUCCCUGCAGCGCCCACCA